Long non-coding RNA from Oncorhynchus masou masou (cherry salmon), 2373 nucleotides. RefSeq lists it as uncharacterized. The transcript is spliced from 2 exons. Lineage: Eukaryota; Metazoa; Chordata; Actinopteri; Salmoniformes; Salmonidae. The record is from RefSeq and is a predicted model, not a curated record.
UUUCAAUUGACAUAUUGGUAGGCUUGCAUUACCCCAUACAAUAACGAUCAUAAAAAUUAUAUUAUUUUUGCUUCUUUACAAAAUGUAAUCAGACAAUACAAUGGAUUAUUUUAAAAUAAUACUUUAUUCAAAUCGUAUUUAGAUGUGAAAAUAACCAACCCUAUGUUAUUAAUCGCGUUAAAUGUGUCACUCAUUGGAAGACAAACAAAUUCCACUUUUGCUUACUUGUCCAGUCAUCCUGGUACUUUCCAAUUUAGCCUAUUUAAUUGUGGAUAUGGGAACGGAUAGAGUAGCCAAUGUCCUACACCGCAAAGAUGGCAUGGAUUCAAAUCAAAGUAGAGUCCUUGAUAUGAACGAGAUUCAUCAAAGACAAUUAAAUGUGUAUUAAGUCCUUAUCUAUUUUAAAAUCAAAAAGAUGGAUCACCAAUAGCAUGCUAAUUGAGUUAAUAACUCAUUGUUGCCAUUUACUUUGAUCUAUAAUGGUCAUUUAUCUCUGGUAGACCACCGGACAACGGCAGGUUGAAUCAACGUUGCUUCCAUGUCAUUUAAACAACAAAAUGUGGGUGACGUUGAAUGAAGGUGGAAAAGCUGUCAACAUAAGCGAUUUUUUUUUACCCAACGUUUAACCUAAAUUCAAUGACAUGGUGACAUUUUGUUGAUUUUACAUUGAAUGAAAAUAAGUUGACAGCUCAACCAAAAACGGUCUUUAAACUGACGUCUGUGCCCAGUGAGAAACGAGUUCACCUGCUCAUCCAAUGCUUCAGAGGUAGGCUAUGCGAGCAUGCAGGCUAAUCUGAACAUUUUAAAAAGGUAAAAUAUAGGCCAUACGGUGAUUUCGCGAUUUAAGUUACUAUAAAACUGUCUAAAUCAUUUUUAGGCUACCUCGAAUGUUUGAGAGGUAUUGACUUGACAACAGGUGAGUUGAUUUCCGUGAAAUUAUCUUUUGUCAAUCUGUUUUAAAUGAAUUAUACUUGAUAAUUUCUUAUCCGUGCAGAUAGCGGUAGUCUAUAUGCUAAAAUCCCUGUGGCAGAAAGAGGUGGCAAGACCAGGAAAUGACAAGUGCUGAAGCACAGUCACAUUUGUGCAGCCCACACACAUGCAUAUUCAACAUUAUUUUUUUUAGAAUUAAAUAAUUGUUUUGUGAAUGUGAAUUUUUCAGAUUUUAGGCCAAGUAUGGUAAUCAUAAAUCAUAUAGAACGUAUUUUCUUGAUAAAUGGCCUUGUCUUGAUUCUGUCUGAUAGGCGAUCUUGCUUCGUCAAGAUGUAGGGUUAGGCAAUUGUUUUGUAGACCACUUUUUAAAAAUCUGAUUGGCUAUAGCCUAAUGUCAUUUAUCAACUAUUUAAUUUGAAUACCAUUUUGCUCUUUCAUUUUUUUUGUUAGGCCUAGGCUACAUCAAAGUUUUCAGCCUAGCACAAUUGUAGCAUCGGCUAUAAUGCUCAUUGUUAAAAUAUGUUCAGCUCGGAUAAAAUCUUAGUUGUCUGCUUUCCGUAAUGCAUCUGUUGAAUGAGCCAUAUAAUAAACGAAUUGUAUUGUGGUGGAUGGCUCUUUUCGGUCUUUUUCCUAGAUGUAGCCCCAUGCAAAUAACCAAACCGCUCAAUCUUGUGGACCUUUCAAAGGGUAUGGUUAUGACCUACUGCACUCAAAUUUCUUCCAUUCCAACCACGUUCCCAUUAUCAUGACUGCACAGAGAAACAUUCGAUAACAAAAAUAGCAAUAAUGACUUCGGUCUUUCUAUUGAAACUUGCAUGUCUCGGGACCAUAAAUACAUAGGCCUAUAUUCACAAAAUGUUUUUCCAUUUUCUGUACCACUAUCGCUUGUGCUGGUAUAUAGCAUGAAAAGGGAAUCUUUCCAGCUCGGGUCUGUUGAAUUCCAGCUUAUUGCAGAGCAAUGGGACAAGCAGCUGUGCUCCCGGGGCUCUUGGAAAGGCAGCCACUCAAGCCACUCACAGGAGGGAUCCAGACCACCUGGCUCCUGUCCUGGCCAGCCCAGCUUCCAUCUCCCAGCCAGGGGAAGAUGGGGCUGCCGUUAAAGACUCACACUAUAGCCGGGGUGGGGGAUGGGGAAGAGUGAUCGUCGACCUCUGACCCUCAGUACUCUCCCAGUGUGUCCCGAUGGACACCAUAACACACAACACAGACAAAUCUAUGGAAUCUAUGAACAAAGUACAUUUUCAGUGCAAUGCAACAACAAAAAAAUUGAUCCAACGCCAUUGAGUUAUGUUGCAUCAUGUAUUUAACAGGAUAUAUUUCCCUACACCAUGUCAAAAAAAGAAAAGAAAAAAUACUUUAAGAGAACAUUCGUGUGUUGAACAUGAUGAACAAUGGGUCCUACAUCUGGGUAUAUUUAAUCCACAAUAAAAGCCUGGCUCUGUU